This 1117-nucleotide ribosomal RNA is filed under the name Spinibarbichthys yunnanensis. RNAcentral's name for it is "partial large subunit ribosomal RNA". The stretch from base 187 to 1098 matches the Rfam family "Bacterial large subunit ribosomal RNA", at positions 568 to 2044 of the family's 2925-position model. The record is from RNAcentral. Lineage: Eukaryota; Metazoa; Chordata; Actinopteri; Cypriniformes; Cyprinidae.
AGCAACAGCUAGCUUAACCACCCAAUAAUUGAACAAUAUAAAUAAAACAAAAUAAACCUAACACCAAAAAUUAAACCAUUCUUUUACCUGAGUAUGGGAGACAGAAAAGGUUCUACCCAAAGCAAUAGAGACAGUACCGCAAGGGAAAGCUGAAAGAGAAAUGAAACAACCCAUAUAAGCACAAAAAAGCAAAGAUUAAACCUUGUACCUUUCGCAUCAUGAUUUAGCCAGUACACCCAAGCAAAGAGACCUUUAGUUUGAAACCCCGAAACCAGGUGAGCUACCCCGAGACAGCCUAUUAAGGGCCAACCCGUCUCUGUGGCAAAAGAGUGGGAAGAGCUCCGGGUAGAAGUGAUAGACCUACCGAACCUGGUGAUAGCUGGUUGCCUAAGAAAUGAAUAGAAGUUCAGCCUCGUACCCUCCCCUAAUCAAAAACACAAACAAGACACUAAGAGAAAUACACGAGAGUUAGUUAAAGGGGGUACAGCCCCUUUAACAAAGGACACAACCUUUCCAGGAGGAUAAAGAUCACAAUACAUAAAACAUACUGUUCUAGUGGGCCUAAAAGCAGCCACCUAAACAGAAAGCGUUAAAGCUCAGACAGAAAGAAGUUUAUUAUUCUGAUAAAAAAUCUUACUCCCCUAGAUACUAUUAGGCCAACCCAUGCCCACAUGGAAAAGACUAUGCUAAAAUGAGUAACAAGAAGACCCGCCCUUCUCCAAGCACAAGUGUAAGCCAAACCGGACCAACCAUUGGCAACUAACGAACUCAACCCAAGAGAGCAAUGUGGACUACAAAAAGACCAAGAAAAAUCCACAACCAAACUAUCGUUACCCCCACACUGGAGUGCUAUUUAAAGGAAAGACUAAAAGAAAAGGAAGGAACUCGGCAAACACAAGCCUCGCCUGUUUACCAAAAACAUCGCCUCCUGCGACACAACCAAGUAUAGGAGGUCCAGCCUGCCCAGUGACUACAAGUUCAACGGCCGCGGUAUUUUGACCGUGCAAAGGUAGCGCAAUCACUUGUCUUUUAAAUAGAGACCUGUAUGAAUGGCUAAACGAGGGCUUAACUGUCUCCCCUUUCAAGUCAGUGAAAUUGAUCUACCCGUGCAGAAGCG